UACGAAGGGGGCUAGCGUUGUUCGGAAUUACUGGGCGUAAAGGGCGCGUAGGCGGCGUGUCAAGUCAGGCGUGAAAGCCCCGGGCUCAACCUGGGAACCGCGCUUGAGACUGGCAUGCUCGAGUUCGGGAGAGGAUGGUGGAAUUCCCAGUGUAGAGGUGAAAUUCGUAGAUAUUGGGAAGAACACCGAUGGCGAAGGCGGGUCUCUGGGCAGUAACUGACGCUGAGGAGCGAAAGCGUGGGGAGCGAACAGG
Molecule: ribosomal RNA, 253 nt
Filed under: uncultured bacterium
Lineage: Bacteria
Description: partial 16S ribosomal RNA
Rfam family: Bacterial small subunit ribosomal RNA
Source: RNAcentral